This 500-nucleotide ribosomal RNA is filed under the name uncultured bacterium. Its description in RNAcentral is "partial 16S ribosomal RNA". It matches the Rfam family "Bacterial small subunit ribosomal RNA", at positions 30 to 523 of the family's 1533-position model. The record is from RNAcentral.
AUUGAACGCUGGCGGCAUGCCUUACACAUGCAAGUCGAACGGCAGCACGGGAGCAAUCCUGGCGGCGAGUGGCGAACGGGUGAGUAAUAUAUCGGAACGUGCCCAGUCGUGGGGGAUAACGCAGCGAAAGCUGUGCUAAUACCGCAUACGAUCUAAGGAUGAAAGCGGGGGAUCGCAAGACCUCGCGCGAUUGGAGCGGCGGAUAUCAGAUUAGCUAGUUGGUGGGGUAAAGGCCCACCAAGGCGACGAUCUGUAGCUGGUCUGAGAGGACGACCAGCCACACUGGAACUGAGACACGGUCCAGACUCCUACGGGAGGCAGCAGUGGGGAAUUUUGGACAAUGGGCGCAAGCCUGAUCCAGCAAUGCCGCGUGCAGGAUGAAGGCCUUCGGGUUGUAAACUGCUUUUGUACGGAACGAAACGGCCCUUUCUAAUACAGGGGGCUAAUGACGGUACCGUAAGAAUAAGCACCGGUUAACUACGUGCCAGCCGCCGCGGUAA